Long non-coding RNA from Haemorhous mexicanus (house finch), 1224 nucleotides. RefSeq lists it as uncharacterized. NCBI's taxonomy places the organism in Eukaryota, Metazoa, Chordata, Aves, Passeriformes, Fringillidae. The record is from RefSeq and is a predicted model, not a curated record. The transcript has 3 exons.
CAUUAGUGCAGUCUGCUGCAGGAUGCUUUGGAAAAAUUGAAGUUUCCAGCAUGACUGAAAGUGCUCCCUUCAGAUAUUUAAUGUACAAAUGAUUUUUCUUUUGCAAUCUCCCUUGCUCCAGUCUCUCCCAUGUUCCACUUGGAAAGCAAACCCAUCAGCAUUUAUUUUAUGUGAGCUCCACUUCAGAAUGAGGCUGUGCAAGGUGCUGUUCAACCUGGUGAAUUCUUGAAGGCAAGGCUCAAUCCUCUUUCCAUGCUGCAUAAGAAGCGGAUGUAGCAUCAGUUACAGCUCUAUCUGAAUAUCCUCACAUUUUUGUGGAGGAGCCAAAGAAUAUACAGUUUAUAGAAAUCUCCAGAACUGCUUCAGGUGAGAUGACAGAUACAGCUACAACUUCCUACCCGAGCUCCCCCUCUGCCUGACAGCCAAACCAAGCAACACAAAAUGGGAAACAAAUCAAAACAAAACAAAGCAACAGAUGGAUUCCCAGCUGCACUUUGUAUUCAGGAAGGUAGAAUGUCAAGAAAUGCUGGCCAGUCUGUGCUGAAACUCCCACAGCAUUAAAGGGAAACUCAAUUUCACUGCGUCAAGUGCAACCGAGGCUUUCAUUCUGUAACGGAAAUACUUAUUGUAACUGCAAAAAAAAAUCUAAAAAAAUGUAUUUCUUUGAAAUGGCUUCACACUAACAAGUUUAUAUUAGAUAUUGGGAAAAAAUUUCUCCCUGUGAGAGUGGUGAGGCCCUAGCACAGGUGCCCAGAGGAGCUGUGGCUGCCCCUGGAUCCCUGGGAGUGUCCAAGGCCAGGUUGGACAGGGCUUGGAGCAGCCUGGGACAGUGGAAGGUUCUUUAAUCCCUUCCACCUCAGGCCGUUUUGUGAUCCUGUGAUACUGGAAUACAAACAUAAUUUUUAGGGAACUGGGUUAAAUUUUCUUACACAAAUAUUUAUCCAGAGAUGGAAUCCAAAGCUCCUCUCUCCCUGCUGCGUGGUUCUUUGCCUGUAGCAAUUUUUGGGGUUUUUUUUUAAGGCCUGAAUGUGGAAUCUACAAACAUCAGAGUUUAUGUUGCACUCAGGGCAGGGUUACUCAAUUCAGGACACUUUGGUGCAUAAAAAGAAACACUGCUUCCUAAUUUUAGCAUGGAAUUCUGGUGUAGGUGGGAAUAUCUUGGUUGACUUCAUCAGGUUUUGGAACAAACUGUUGGGAAAAGUAUGGGAUGGCAGUGAGGAAUAA